RNAcentral lists this transfer RNA (74 nucleotides) under Candidatus Peribacteria bacterium. Its description in RNAcentral is "tRNA-Met". It matches the Rfam family "tRNA". Rfam says of the family: Transfer RNA (tRNA) molecules are approximately 80 nucleotides in length. Their secondary structure includes four short double-helical elements and three loops (D, anti-codon, and T loops). Further hydrogen bonds mediate the characteristic L-shaped molecular structure. tRNAs have two regions of fundamental functional importance: the anti-codon, which is responsible for specific mRNA codon recognition, and the 3' end, to which the tRNAs corresponding amino acid is attached (by aminoacyl-tRNA synthetases). tRNAs cope with the degeneracy of the genetic code in two manners: having more than one tRNA (with a specific anti-codon) for a particular amino acid; and 'wobble' base-pairing, i.e. permitting non-standard base-pairing at the 3rd anti-codon position. The record is from RNAcentral. Lineage: Bacteria; Candidatus Peregrinibacteriota; Candidatus Peribacteria.
GGCUCUGUAGCUCAGCUGGUUAGAGCGCACCUCUCAUAAGGGUGAGGUCGGUGGUUCAAGUCUACCCAGAGCCA